GGUUAAGCGACUAAGCGUACACGGUGGAUGCCCUGGCAGUCAGAGGCGAUGAAGGACGUGCUAAUCUGCGAUAAGCGCCGGUAAGGUGAUAUGAACCGUUAUAACCGGCGAUUUCCGAAUGGGGAAACCCAGUGUGACUCGUCACACUAUCAUUAACUGAAUCCAUAGGUUAAUGAGGCGAACCGGGGGAACUGAAACAUCUAAGUACCCCGAGGAAAAGAAAUCAACCGAGAUUCCCCCAGUAGCGGCGAGCGAACGGGGAGGAGCCCAGAGCCUGAAUCAGCAUGUGUGUUAGUGGAAGCGUCUGGAAAGGCGCGCGAUACAGGGUGACAGCCCCGUACACAAAAGCGCAUGUGCUGUGAGCUCGAUGAGUAGGGCGGGACACGUGGUAUCCUGUCUGAAUAUGGGGGGACCAUCCUCCAAGGCUAAAUACUCCUGACUGACCGAUAGUGAACCAGUACCGUGAGGGAAAGGCGAAAAGAACCCCGGCGAGGGGAGUGAAAAAGAACCUGAAACCGUGUACGUACAAGCAGUGGGAGCCCCACCACCAAAGCAUUCUCUGGUGUUGAAGGCCCUGCAAAGCAGCAUCGCGGUGGCGGAGCGUCGUUUGCGACGCCCAACACACAAAACAAGCGGUGAGUGCUUUGGGGUGGGGUGACUGCGUACCUUUUGUAUAAUGGGUCAGCGACUUAUAUUCUGUAGCAAGGUUAACCGAAUAGGGGAGCCGGAGGGAAACCGAGUCUUAAUUGGGCGUUAAGUUGCAGGGUAUAGACCCGAAACCCGGUGAUCUAGCCAUGGGCAGGUUGAAGGUUGGGUAACACUAACUGGAGGACCGAACCGACUAAUGUUGAAAAAUUAGCGGAUGACCUGUGGCUGGGGGUGAAAGGCCAAUCAAACCGGGAGAUAGCUGGUUCUCCCCGAAAGCUAUUUAGGUAGCGCCUCGUGAAUUCAUCUCCGGGGGUAGAGCACUGUUUCGGCUAGGGGGCCAUCCCGGCUUACCAACCCGAUGCAAACUGCGAAUACCGGAGAAUGUUAUCACGGGAGACACACGGCGGGUGCUAACGUCCGUCGUGAAGAGGGAAACAACCCAGACCGCCAGCUAAGGUCCCAAAGUCAUGGUUAAGUGGGAAACGAUGUGGGAAGGCCCAGACAGCCAGGAUGUUGGCUUAGAAGCAGCCAUCAUUUAAAGAAAGCGUAAUAGCUCACUGGUCGAGUCGGCCUGCGCGGAAGAUGUAACGGGGCUAAACCAUGCACCGAAGCUGCGGCAGCGAACGUAUCACUUAAAGCGAUUCAGCGGGUUACGAUUGACGGAGCGAAGCGACGUCAAAGCGUAUACAAAGUCGAGUCGGUUUA
Molecule: ribosomal RNA, 1353 nt
Filed under: Salmonella enterica
Lineage: Bacteria; Pseudomonadati; Pseudomonadota; Gammaproteobacteria; Enterobacterales; Enterobacteriaceae
Description: partial 23S ribosomal RNA
Rfam family: Bacterial large subunit ribosomal RNA
Source: RNAcentral